Molecule: ribosomal RNA, 486 nt
Filed under: uncultured bacterium
Lineage: Bacteria
Description: partial 16S ribosomal RNA
Rfam family: Bacterial small subunit ribosomal RNA
Source: RNAcentral
AUUGAACGCUGGCGGCAUGCCUUACACAUGCAAGUCGAACGGCAGCACGGGUGCUUGCCCCUGGUGGCGAGUGGCGAACGGGUGAGUAAUACAUCGGAACAUGUCCUGUAGUGGGGGAUGGCCCGGCGAAAGCCGGAUUAAUACCGCAUACGAUCUACGGAUGAAAGCGGGGGACCUUCGGGCCUCGCGCUAUAGGGUUGGCCGAUGGCUGAUUAGCUAGUUGGUGGGGUAAAGGCCUACCAAGGCGACGAUCAGUAGAUGGUCUGAGAGGACGACCAGCCACACUGGGACUGAGACACGGCCCAGACUCCUACGGGAGGCAGCAGUGGGGAAUUUUGGACAAUGGGCGAAAGCCUGAUCCAGCAAUGCCGCGUGUGUGAAGAAGGCCUUCGGGUUGUAAAGCACUUUUGUCCGGAAAGAAAUCCUUGGCUCUAAUACAGUCGGGGGAUGACGGUACCGGAAGAAUAAGCACCGGCUAACUACGUG